GAUUUCUGGACCCAGUACCUUCAAAUCAGGUCGCUUCUCCUUCAGGUACUUCUGGUUCAGCUGAACAUCCCAACACCCCCGCAAGUCCAAGAACUCAAGGUCCUUGCACCCCGAAAGAAUCUCGAUGACUCCGCCAGUCGUCAAGAGAGAGUAGGCCACCUCGAGAUGUCGGAGCUUAGGCAUUGUGGUUGCGAUAGCACCGGCCUCGUCAUCCUGGCAAAACUUCUCUGCUACCUCCAGUGGGUGCAUUGCCCGCUUCAGUCCAACGAGAGACUUGCAGUUCUUCCCAAUAAUCGCAAGACCAGGGGCACCGAGCUUUUGACAGUAGCUGACAUCCAAGAAGGUGACAGUGGAUAGUCUUGAUGCAACCUGUUCUACGAUCGAAUCACUGAUUUCACACCUUGGUAGUUCGAGAGUUUGAAGGGAGCCAGCAUGGUUAGCGAUGUAGGCGAAUAUUUCUUCGCUGGCGAGGCCUGAGACGGCCAG
RNAcentral lists this unclassified non-coding RNA (486 nucleotides) under Hevea brasiliensis (rubber tree). Lineage: Eukaryota; Viridiplantae; Streptophyta; Magnoliopsida; Malpighiales; Euphorbiaceae. The record is from RNAcentral.